UUGACCUCGGAUCAGGUAGGGAUACCCGCUGAACUA
This 36-nucleotide ribosomal RNA is filed under the name Parmelina tiliacea. Its description in RNAcentral is "partial 28S ribosomal RNA". The record is from RNAcentral. Lineage: Eukaryota; Fungi; Ascomycota; Lecanoromycetes; Lecanorales; Parmeliaceae. RNAcentral also lists the same sequence under 2 other names.